UUUGGACUGUGGACUCGAGUUAAUGUUGAAAUGAGUCAAGACUUUGGGGGACUGUUGGGAAGACGUAAUUGGUUUUUAAAUGUGAGAACAUGAGAUUUGAGAAGGUCCAGAGGUGGAUUGAUAUGGUUUGGCAGUGUCUCCAUCUAUAUCUCAUCUUGAAUUGUAGCUCCCAUAAUUCUCAUGUGUUGUGGGAGGGACCCAGUGUAAGGUAAUUGAGUCAUGGGGCAGGUCUUUCCCAUGCUGUUCUCAUGAUUUUGAAUAACUCUCAUGUGAUCUGAUGGUUUUAUAAAGGGGAGUUCCCCUGCACAUGUCCUCUUGCCUGCCACCAUGUAAGACUUUUUUUGCUUCCCCUUCAACCUCUGCCAUGAUUGUGAGGCCUCCCUAGCCACAUGGAACUGUGAGUCAAUUAAACUUCCUUUCUUUAUAAAUUACCCAGUCUUGGGUAUGUCUUUCUUAGCAGCAUCGGAAUGGACUAAUACACUGGCUAAACCACAUAAUUGAAAUAGAAGCUGUGUAGUAAGAUCACAAGAAAUGUAGAAACAAAGCAGUUCCCAGAGAUCUCAGUAGCAGAGAUUUAUGACAUCUUCAUUAGGGCACAGUCAUGGCAUGGCAUUGACUCGGUUCUGACCAACUUUAGUCCUUUUUGGCACUCUACUAUGUAUUCAAUUCUUGGAAAAGAUUGAUUGAUUUUGUUUGAUUCGUGUCCUCAUUCUGUAGAGCAACACUGUUGCUGACAGUCCUAACAGAACAUUAUGAAACGGGAGAGGUAAUUUCUUCUGAAACAAAUAUGCAUAGGUGCACUAUGUAGGCAAAAGGAGCUGCAAAGGACAAAGAGCAACAGACUCCAGACAUGCAUACCACAUCAUCAUGAGAAAUGUGGAUGCUAAACUGAAGACAACAGAGUGACACUGGGCAAUUCAUACAGGAGAAUGACAUGAGCAGGUCUGCACUGAAGAUAAACACUAUGAGGUAUGGAUUAUCGGUGGAUCAUCCUGAAGGCCUAAAGUUAUAAAAGUGAGAGAUUGUGGAUGGAGAACUGAACAAGAUAGUAGUAGGAGGAACAGAGAGAAGAAAACUGGUUCAAGAGAUAUUAACCUGUAGAAGGAAAAGGGCAAGGAGAAGCCAUAUGUAUUAGAGCAGCUAGCAUAUUUUCAGGAACAAAGCAAUAACUCAGCAAAUAUCAAUUGAUAUGACAUAAACACAGAACACUAUGUCUUAGAAGGUGCUUAGUAAAUUUUGGCACUUUUAGACAUUCUAUGCAUUACAACACCUGAAUUUUUUCAAAUUGCUCUUAUUUUCUUUACAUAAUUCAUAAAAAUUUCUUUACUCCCUCAAUCUUCAUAGUUGUAUUGCCAAAUUAUAAGUAAGGAUGUUUGCAUUUUUAGGGAAAAUGUAAUUGUUUCAUUUGAAGAAGAAUCUUUAGGUGAGAAUUAAAUUGAACAUUUAGAAUAAAUAGUUUCAAACAUGCACAUGUUGCUUAAAAUGCAAGAAGAUAGAAAACCUUGGUAGGUGGAUAUAUAAGAGUAACUCUAAUAAAAUCUUCCAAAUUUUAUAUUUGUUGAUGAUGAUAGCCUUUACGAAGCUCAGAUUUCAGCUUUUUUCUCUUCUACAACUGUGACAAAUGCAAAAGUAUUUUUCACCCAUUUUAAGAAAACAAAACAAUUUUCUUAGCACACGGAAUUUCACAGUAAUUAAUUGGAAGAUAUGGAAGUUAAUAAGAUUUGAUAUAAUCUGAUUUGUGUGAAUUAAAUCAUUUUAGUUGUUAAGCUUGUGUAAUGGCAGCCCAAAUAUUAGAUAAUUCCUUGUUUCUGGAACAAAGUAAGAUGAGCAAGGAAAAAAAAAAAAAAAA
RNAcentral lists this long non-coding RNA (1849 nucleotides) under Macaca fascicularis (crab-eating macaque). RNAcentral's name for it is "lncRNA (ENSMFAG00000051662.1)". The record is from RNAcentral. Lineage: Eukaryota; Metazoa; Chordata; Mammalia; Primates; Cercopithecidae.